This 218-nucleotide non-coding RNA is filed under the name Bacillus sp. (in: firmicutes). Its description in RNAcentral is "Bacillus sp. T-box sequence". It matches the Rfam family "T-box leader". From Rfam's summary of the family: Uncharged tRNA acts as the effector for transcription antitermination of genes in the T-box leader family. T-boxes are found upstream of many aminoacyl-tRNA synthetase genes and some amino acid biosynthetic genes usually in Gram-positive bacteria. The anticodon of a specific tRNA base pairs to a specifier sequence within the T-box motif, and the NCCA acceptor tail of the tRNA base pairs to a conserved bulge in the T-box antiterminator hairpin. Lineage: Bacteria; Bacillati; Bacillota; Bacilli; Caryophanales; Bacillaceae. The record is from RNAcentral.
UCAUAUUCGAUGAAAAAGACAGUAGCUAUUUGGCAAUGCGAAGCGAGUUAGGGACGGUGUGAGCCUAAUGCAAGAAGAAUAGCGAAGCGCACUUUGGAGAAAUUGCCUGAAAGACUAGUAGGGUAAAUCGGGGAGGCUACCCCGUUAUUAACAAGAAAGCGGUCACUUCAUGUGACAACUAGAGUGGUACCACGGGAUUAAUAGCUCUCGUCUCUAUU